RNAcentral lists this ribosomal RNA (506 nucleotides) under uncultured bacterium. Its description in RNAcentral is "partial 16S ribosomal RNA". It matches the Rfam family "Bacterial small subunit ribosomal RNA", at positions 28 to 506 of the family's 1533-position model. The record is from RNAcentral.
GACGAACGCUGGCGGCGUGCUUAACACAUGCAAGUCGAACGGGCCUUGUCCCCUUUUUUUUUGGGGGUGGGGUUAGUGGCGAACGGGUGAGUAACACGUGAGUAACCUGCCCCUCACUUCUGGAUAACCGCUUGAAAGGGUGGCUAAUACGGGGUGUUCUGGCCUGCUCGCAUGGGUGGGUUUGGAGAGAUUCGACCGGUUUGGUUGUUUUGGUGGGGGAUGGGCUCGCGGCCUAUCAGCUUGUUGGUGGGGUGAUGGCCUGCCAAGGCUUUGACGGGUAGCCGGCCUGAGAGGGUGGGCGGUCACACUGGGACUGAGACACGGCCCAGACUCCUACGGGAGGCAGCAGUGGGGAAUAGUGCACAAUGGGCGCAAGCCUGAUGCAGCGACGCCGCGUGAGGGAUGGAGGCCUUCGGGUUGUGAACCUCUUUCGCCAGUGAAGAAGGUCCUGCUCUUUGUGGUGGGGUUGACGGUAGCUGGGUUAAUGAAGCGCCGGCUAACUACGU